AUUGGUGAGGGUCGCCAGUAGCAACAGAUCAAGGUACAGGGAGUAACAAGACCACGGCCAUAGCCGCUAUGAGGAAUGACAUACUAGGUGAGAAAAGGAGGGUGUAGCAGACUUUAGAUGGGAGAGGAAAUGAGAAAGGCCAUGGGGUCUCAGAUAGGGGCAGAAAUAGUAGCCUUUACUCCUUAAUUCUCAAUUCCAGCACUCUCGAAGUGUCCUUCCUCUUCCUGCCUUUGGCCUCUGGGAUUUAUCCUAUUAUUAAUAACCCUAUUAAUAAUAACAAUGGUUAUUAUGAACAUUAUUCUGUCUUAUUAAGAAUAAUCUUACAAAGGAAAUUCUUUUAACUUGAACCUGUGUGAGUAGACAUAUAUUCCUCAAACCCCAAAGAGCCUUGAUUAAAGUAGUGACCCGUGUGAGCACCACUGGAAAUAAAAAUCACUCAACAUUCAGCAAAGAAGAUUGAGAUCAAAAAAGCUGGCUGAGAUUCGCACUGGGCAUCCUUAAGGUGAGCAAACUGGUGGAUUAACCUGCUGAGGUGCAUUUUUAUGAAGAAGAAAGAUUACUCCAUUUGAGAAGAUUUGAGAGGCAUGAUAAAUAAAAGGAGUUCCAGCUUCUCCAUCACCUAUGGAUUCAAUUUCCUAUGUUAAAUUCUCUCUGCUUGAAGGACCUUUAAUGAUGCCAGUUUUCUCGCUGGACCCUAACAGAUACAAGAUGAGCCCAGUAUCCAAAGCAGUGAGGUGGUUUCCAUCUGCUCACAGCACGUAUGUGACCCAGGAAGGACACUGCUGCAACCCAGGGUCUGCUGGAUUAUGCCCCUUGUCAAGACAACACAUUUCCCACACAUGCUGAAACGUGUGCCCUGGUAUUUUCCUGGGGUAUUAUUUGAGUUGCCUCUGAGGAUUUCAUUGUUUGUUAAGAUCUUAUAAAAAACAAAA
Callithrix jacchus (white-tufted-ear marmoset) is the source of this 932-nucleotide non-coding RNA. The record is from RefSeq and is a predicted model, not a curated record. Lineage: Eukaryota; Metazoa; Chordata; Mammalia; Primates; Cebidae.